GACGAACGCUGGCGGCGUGCUUAACACAUGCAAGUCGAACGGAAAGGCCCUGCUUUUGUGGGUUGCUCGAUUGGCGAACGGGUGAGUAACACGUGAGUAACCUGCCCUUGACUUUGGGAUAACUUCAGGAAACUGGGGCUAAUACCGGAUAGGAGCUCCUGCUGCAUGGUGGGGGUUGGAAAGUUUCGGCGGUUGGUGAUGGACUCGCGGCUUAUCAGGUUGUUGGUGGGGUAGUGGCUUACCAAGGCUUUGACGGGUAGCCGGCCUGAGAGGGUGACCGGCCACAUUGGGACUGAGAUACGGCCCAGACUCAUACGGGAGGCAGCAGUGGGGAAUAUUGCACAAUGGGCGGAAGCCUGAUGCAGCAACGCCGCGUGCGGGAUGACGGCCUUCGGGCUGUAAACCGCUUUCGCCUGUGACGAAGCGUGAGUGACGGUAAUGAGUAAAGAAGCACCGGCUAACUACGUG
Molecule: ribosomal RNA, 468 nt
Filed under: uncultured bacterium
Lineage: Bacteria
Description: partial 16S ribosomal RNA
Rfam family: Bacterial small subunit ribosomal RNA
Source: RNAcentral